RNAcentral lists this ribosomal RNA (1902 nucleotides) under Triticum aestivum (bread wheat). Its description in RNAcentral is "partial small subunit ribosomal RNA". Lineage: Eukaryota; Viridiplantae; Streptophyta; Magnoliopsida; Poales; Poaceae. The record is from RNAcentral.
AUGGCGGUGUCGUCUCCCGCUCCGGAGCCGACGAGGAGGAGCAACAAGUGGCGCCGCGGCAACAGAAAGGUGAUCAACGGGUACAUCGGCGAAGCGCGGGCGGCUCUGGCGGCCGCGGCGGCGCGGGACGGCGACGGCGGGGAUGACUCGGCGGCCGCGGCCGCGCUCGGGCUGGUCGGCGCGGUGCUGGAGAUGUCGCCGCGCAUGGAGGCCGCGCUCGAGCUCCGGGCGCGCGCGCUGCUCGCGCUCCGCCGGUACCGCGACGUCGCCGAGAUGCUCCGCGACUACAUUCCCAGCUGCGCCAAGUCCUGCGCCGGGGAUGACACGGCCACCUCCUCCUCCUCCUGCUCGUCCGGCUCCGGCGACCUCGCCUGCGCGUCUCGCGCGGGGCUUCUUUCCCCGGGCCGCGAGCUCUCCAUCUCCGGCGCCGGGGGCUCCCUGUUCCUCUGCUGCUUCGACGUGUCCGAGAUCAAGCGCCGCGUCGUCGCCGGCCUAUCCAAGAACUCCGACGCCGAGACCCAGUGGAGGUACUUGGUCCUGGGUCAGGCUUGCUUCCAUCUCGGCUUGAUGGAGGACGCCGUGGUGCUCCUCCAGACCGGCCGCCGCCUCGCCACGGCCGCGUUCCGCCGCGAGAGCGUGUGCUGGUCGGAGGACAGCUUCUCCCCGUCCAACUCGACGGCCAAUGUGCCUGCAGCCAGCAGAAGGGCGCCGUGCAAGUUCAGCCAGGCGUCCGGGAUGCCGCCGGCGAGCGAGGCGGACUCGGUGUCACAGCUGCUGGCGCACGUGAAGCUGCUGCUCCGCCGCCGCGCCGCCGCUGUGGCGGCGCUGGACGCCGGCCUCCCCGCCGAGGCCGUGCGCCAUUUCAACAAGGUGCUCGACGCGCGCCGCGGCGGCGUGCUCCCGCACUCCUUCGCCACGGCCUGCCUGGUGGGCCGCGCCGCGGCGUUCCGCGCGUCCGGGCGGCCGGCCGACGCCAUCGCCGACUGCAACCGCGCGCUGGCGCUCGACCCGGCGUUCAUCCCGGCGCUGCGCGCGCGCGCCGACCUGCUCGAGUCCGUGGGCGCGAUCCCCGACAGCCUGCGCGACCUGGACCACCUGAAGCUGCUCUACGACGCGGCCCUCCGUGACGGGAAGCUGCCGGGGCCGAGCUGGCGGCCGCAGGGCGGCGUCCGGCAGCGCGAGAUCGCCGGUGCGCACCGCGAGCUGGUGGCCCGCGUCCAGCAGCUCCGCGCCCGCGUGGCCGCCGGCGACGGGUGCAACGUGGACUACUACGCGCUCCUCGGGGUCCCGCGCGGCUGCGCGCGGUCGGAGGUGGUGCGCGCGCACCUCCUGCUGACGCUGAAGCUGAAGCCGGACCGGUCGGCGUCGUUCGCGGAGCGGCUGGAGCUGGUGGACGAGCACCGCGACCUGGACGCCGUGCGCGACCAGGCGCGCAUGUCGGCCCUGUUCCUCUACCGGAUGCUGCAGAAGGGGUACUCGCACAUCAUGUCCGCCGUGCUGGACGAGGAGGCCGCCGCGCGGCAGAGGGCCAGGGAGGACGCCGCCGCCGCCGCAUUGGCUGCCACCGUGGCCGCCGCCGCAGCGUCGGCGACCAAGCAAGCAGAAGAAGAAGCCGCAGCGUCAGCGGCCAUGCAAGAAGAAGAAGAAGAAGAAGCGGCAGCCGUGCCGGAGAGCCCCAAGCAGACAGAGCGUGUCAGCUGCGAGAACAUCCCGGUGCAAGUCGCGGAGCCGGAAACGAUCGCGCCGCCGUCACCGCCGACGCCGAGGCUGAGCGCGGCGGCGAUGAGCCCGAUGUUCCAGGGCGCGUUCUGCCGCGACAUGGCGGUGGUCGGGACGCUGCUGUCCCGCGGCCGGUUCGACCGGCCGCCCAUGGCGGUCAAGUGCGAGGCGAUGAGCUGCUGA